RNAcentral lists this ribosomal RNA (460 nucleotides) under uncultured bacterium. Its description in RNAcentral is "partial 16S ribosomal RNA". It matches the Rfam family "Bacterial small subunit ribosomal RNA", at positions 338 to 795 of the family's 1533-position model. The record is from RNAcentral.
CCUACGGGGGGCUGCAGUGAGGAAUAUUGGUCCAUGGGCGCGAGCCUGAUCCAGCCAAGUCGCGUGAAGGAUGACUGCCCUACGGGUUGUAAACUUCUUUUAUAAAGGAAUAAAGUGAGGCACGUGUGCCUUUUUGUAUGUACUUUAUGAAUAAGGAUCGGCUAACUCCGUGCCAGCAGCCUCGGUAAUACGGAGGAUCCGAGCGUUAUCCGGAUUUAUUGGGUUGAAAGGGAGCGUAGAUGGGUUGUUAAGUCAGUUGUGAAAGUUUGCGGCUCAACCGUAAAAUUGCAAUUGAUACUGGCAGUCUUGAGUACAGUUGAGGUAGGCGGAAUUCGUGGUGUAGCGGUGAAAUGCUUAGAUAUCACGAAGAACUCCGAUUGCGAAGGCAGCUUACUAAACUGCCACUGACAUUGAUGCUCGAAAGUGUGGGUAUCAAACAGGAUUAGAUACCCGAGUAGUC